RNAcentral lists this ribosomal RNA (819 nucleotides) under uncultured organism. Its description in RNAcentral is "bacterial SSU rRNA". It matches the Rfam family "Bacterial small subunit ribosomal RNA", at positions 36 to 888 of the family's 1533-position model. The record is from RNAcentral.
CUGGCGGCAUGGAUUAGGCAUUGCAAGUCGCACGAGAAUUCCGCUUUCGGGCGGGAGGACAGUGGCGAACGGGUGAGUAACACGUGAGCACCCACCCCCGGGUCGGGCACAGCCCGCGGAAACGCGGAUUAAUACCCGACGGUCCCUUCGGGGCAAAGAGCAAUCGCCCGGGGACGGGCUCGCGUCCCAUCAGCUAGUCGGCGGGGUAACGGCCCGCCGAGGCGACGACGGGUAGGUGGUCUGAGAGGAUGGUCACCCACACUGGGACUGAGACACUGCCCAGACUCCUACGGGAGGCUGCAGUCGAGAAUCAUCCGCAAUGGGCGAAAGCCUGACGGUGCAAUGCCGCGUGGGGGAUGAAGGCCCUCGGGUCGUAAACCCCUGUCAGAGGGGACGAAAAACAUGACGGUACCCUCAGAGGAAGCCACGGCUAACUACGUGCCAGCAGCCGCGGUAACACGUAGGUGGCGAGCGUUAUUCGGAUUUACUGGGCGUAAAGGGUCCGCAGGGGGUUUGCCAAGUCCGGUGUGAAAGUCCGGGGCUCAACCCCGGAACUGCGCCGGAUACUGGUGAACUUGAGUGCGCGAGGGGCAGGCGGAAUUCCUGGUGUAGCGGUGGAAUGCGUGGAUAUCAGGAAGAACACCGACGGCGAAAGCGGCCUGCUGGCGCGCGACUGACCCUGAUGGACGAAAGCGUGGGUAGCGAACAGGAUUAGAUACCCUGGUAGUCCACGCCGUAAACGGUGCAGACCCGAUGCGGGGGGGUUUCCCUCCGUGUCCAAGCCAACGCGUUAAGUCUGCCGCCUGGGGACUACGGUCG